Cervus hanglu yarkandensis (Yarkand deer) is the source of this 76-nucleotide small nucleolar RNA. Ensembl annotates it as small nucleolar RNA, C/D box 59A. Its record names the gene SNORD59A. The record is from Ensembl. NCBI's taxonomy places the organism in Eukaryota, Metazoa, Chordata, Mammalia, Artiodactyla, Cervidae.
UCUUCUAUGAUGAUUUUUAUCAAGAUGACUUUCGUUCUUCUGAGUUUGCUGAAGCCACAUUUCGGUACUGAGAAGA